GGGGGGUGUUUGGGGGUUUGUGGUGGUGGUGGGAAGGGGAGGAGAGAAAAGCAAUAAUGAUACAUACAAAAAGAGGCAUUUGAAAAUUAUUAAGCUAACAACCAGGCAAAUAGGCAGGGCAACUGCAUUCCACCUAAAAUCAAGUUAUUCAAAUAUAAAAAUAUCAUAAACAAUUUGGAUUCCUUGUGUACUAAACAAGAAUUGGCAUUCUAUUCCAAGAAUUGAAUUUCACUCCCAUUUCCAGAGGGAACCAAAUGUGGCCCGUGAAUGGAACCAAGAAACUGAAAAGCCACUUACAUACACACAUCAAGAAAAUAAGCAGAUGAACUAGCACAAAAUCAUGACAAGCGAACACAUUAAAGGGUCAACUAGUAUCCUUGCAACAACUCAUACAAGCAAGAUAGAUGGAGACAGAAUCAUUUGAAAUGUUAUUGGCACCACAUCUGUAGUAGAACAAUCCUAAAAAUUCGAACAGUGAGGAACAGAAGAUUUUCAAGAGAAUGUAUGAUAAAACAUUUUCCAAUUUUCACAUAAACAAUCGCUUGAUCGAUUUCGUUAUAAAGAAGCACAACAACUAACUAUAUAAUAAUCGAAACAAACUAACAAAAGGGCAAUGGGAAAUCAAAUUAGUCCUAAAUAAAUUGACCUACAGCAACAUUUGCACAAUAACCCUGCAACAAUCAUAUUAAUCAUGACAAAGAAAAGAGAGCACUGAAUAGUAAAUGAUAUACCUUUGUGACGGUCUUCCUCUUCUUGUCCAGCUUCACCUUGUUAGCCUUGACGCGCUGGACCUCAGCCAAAAGUGACAUCCUCCUAACAGUCUUAGAAUAGGGAGUUUAGCUUUAGCAUCACAUUCAAAUUCUUGAGAGGAUUCUACUUCAAUGUAGCCCUCUUCACCUCCUUCUUUAUCGGCUUCACUACGGACUGCAUCUCAUCAGAGUUGAUGAUCCUAGC
This 954-nucleotide unclassified non-coding RNA is filed under the name Hevea brasiliensis (rubber tree). Lineage: Eukaryota; Viridiplantae; Streptophyta; Magnoliopsida; Malpighiales; Euphorbiaceae. The record is from RNAcentral.